GAACGCUAGCGACAGGCUUAACACAUGCAAGUCGAGGGGCAGCGGGGGUAGCGAUACCCGCCGGCGACCGGCGCACGGGUGAGUAACGCGUAUGCAACUUGCCUAUCAGAGGGGGAUAACCCGGCGAAAGUCGGACUAAUACCGCAUGAAGCAGGGGCCCCGCAUGGGGAUAUUUGCUAAAGAUUCAUCGCUGAUAGAUAGGCAUGCGUUCCAUUAGGCAGUUGGCGGGGUAACGGCCCACCAAACCGACGAUGGAUAGGGGUUCUGAGAGGAAGGUCCCCCACAUUGGUACUGAGACACGGACCAAACUCCUACGGGAGGCAGCAGUGAGGAAUAUUGGUCAAUGGCCGAGAGGCUGAACCAGCCAAGUCGCGUGAGGGAUGAAGGUUCUAUGGAUCGUAAACCUCUUUUAUAAGGGAAUAAAGUGCGGGACGUGUCCCGUUUUGUAUGUACCUUAUGAAUAAGGAUCGGCUAACUCCGUGCCAGCAGCCGCGGUAAUACGGAGGAUCCGAGCGUUAUCCGGAUUUAUUGGGUUUAAAGGGUGCGUAGGCGGCCUUUUAAGUCAGCGGUGAAAGUCUGUGGCUCAACCAUAGAAUUGCCGUUGAAACUGGGGGGCUUGAGUAUGUUUGAGGCAGGCGGAAUGCGUGGUGUAGCGGUGAAAUGCAUAGAUAUCACGCAGAACCCCGAUUGCGAAGGCAGCCUGCCAAGCCAUUACUGACGCUGAUGCACGAAAGCGUGGGGAUCAAACAGGAUUAGAUACCCUGGUAGUCCACGCAGUAAACGAUGAUCACUAGCUGUUUGCGAUACACUGUAAGCGGCACAGCGAAAGCGUUAAGUGAUCCACCUGGGGAGUACGCCGGCAACGGUGAAACUCAAAGGAAUUGACGGGGGCCCGCACAAGCGGAGGAACAUGUGGUUUAAUUCGAUGAUACGCGAGGAACCUUACCCGGGUUUGAACGCAUUCGGACCGAGGUGGAAACACCUUUUCUAGCAAUAGCCGUUUGCGAGGUGCUGCAUGGUUGUCGUCAGCUCGUGCCGUGAAGUGUCGGCUUAAGUGCCAUAACGAGCGCAACCCUUGCCACUAGUUACUAACAGGUAAAGCUGAGGACUCUGGUGGGACUGCCAGCGUAAGCUGCGAGGAAGGCGGGGAUGACGUCAAAUCAGCACGGCCCUUACAUCCGGGGCGACACACGUGUUACAAUGGCGUGGACAAAGGGAGGCCACCUGGCGACAGGGAGCGAAUCCCCAAACCACGUCUCAGUUCGGAUCGGAGUCUGCAACCCGACUCCGUGAAGCUGGAUUCGCUAGUAAUCGCGCAUCAGCCAUGGCGCGGUGAAUACGUUCCCGGGCCUUGUACACACCGCCCGUCAAGCCAUGGGAGCCGGGGGUACCUGAAGUCCGUAACCGAAAGGAUCGGCCUAGGGUAAAACUGGUGACUGGGGC
RNAcentral lists this ribosomal RNA (1443 nucleotides) under uncultured organism. Its description in RNAcentral is "16S ribosomal RNA". It matches the Rfam family "Bacterial small subunit ribosomal RNA". The record is from RNAcentral.